AAAGAACUUUAAAGGAUAGAAUUCCCAGUUAGGAGGUCUUAAAUAGGGUCUAAAGCCAAGCUUGGUUAUGAGACACCAAACUAUGUGCUGUCAGCUACUAAAUCCUUCCAGUCAUUAGCUUUCAUUAACAUUUAAGAUGUUGGCAAACAUUGAGAAAGAGUCCAAAAAUUAGGAAGAAACUCAAGGUUGUAAUGUGUUCCUGUUUUCUCUUUGUAGCCUAGUUUACCAUGACCUCUUCAGAGACCCUCUGAACUGGUCACAACCUGGGGAAGCUGCUCCUGAAGGACCUCUAAAAGCCUUGAGAUCCAUGUGCAGAAGGACAGACCGUGGCUCUGUCACCAUCGCCCUUGACUCUCUCAGCUGGCUGCUAUGUCACAUUCCCUGUGUUACACUCUGUCAAGCCCUACAUGCUCUGAGCCAGCGAAAUGUAGACCCAGGUGCAGGUGCGGAAGGUUCCCCCUUUGUUCUUUACCCUAGUCCAGCUCCUCCUGCCAAAGAAU
Molecule: long non-coding RNA, 500 nt
Filed under: Rattus norvegicus (Norway rat)
Lineage: Eukaryota; Metazoa; Chordata; Mammalia; Rodentia; Muridae
Description: long non-coding RNA NONRATT005606
Source: RNAcentral